Non-coding RNA from Callithrix jacchus (white-tufted-ear marmoset), 1772 nucleotides. Lineage: Eukaryota; Metazoa; Chordata; Mammalia; Primates; Cebidae. The record is from RefSeq and is a predicted model, not a curated record.
CUCAGGUCUCAUAAAAUGGCAGUAAAGGCAGUAGGAAAUACAAUGAGAACAUCCCAUGGACCAAAUGGGCUUGAUAAGAUGAUAAUGGAUAAGGAUGGCAAUUUAACUGUAACUAAUGAUGACACCACCACCGUAAGCAUGACGGAUGUUGAUCAUCAGAUUGCCAAACUGAUGGUGGAACUGUCCAAGUCUCAAGAUGAUGAAAUUGGAGAUGGAAACACAGGAAUGGUUGUCCUGGCUGGCACCUUGUUAGAAGAAGCUCAGCAGUUGCUAGACUAAGGCAUUCACCCAAUCAGAGUAGCUGAUGUCUAUGAGUAGGCUGUCCACGUUGCUACUGAACACCUGGACAAGAUCAGCAAUAGCAUCCUUGUUUACAUAAAGGACACCAAACCACUGAUUCGGACUGCAAAAACCAUGCUGGGCUCUGAAGUGGUCAACAGUUGUCACUGACAAAUGGCUGAGAUUGCUGUGAAUGCCUUCCUUACUGUAGCAGAUAUGGAGCAGAGAGAUGUUGACUUUGAGCUUAUCAAAGUAGAAGGCAAAGUGGGCAGCAGACUGGAGGACACUACAUUGAUUAAGGGGGUGAUUGUGGACAAGGAUUUCAGUCACCCACAGAUACUGAAAGAAGUGGAAGAUGCUAAGAUUGCAAUCUUCACAUGACCAUUUGUGCCACCCAAACCAAAAACAAAGCAUAAGUCGGAUAUGACCUCCGUAGAAGAUUAUAAAUCCUUCAGAAAUAUGAAAAGAAGAAAUUUGAAGAGAUAAUUCAACAAAUUAAAGAGACUGGUGCUAACCUAGCCAUUUGUCAGUGGGGCUUUGAUGAUGAAGCAAAUCACUUACUUCUUCAGAACAACUGGCCUGCGGUUCGCUGGGUAGGAGGACCUGAAAUUGAGCUGAUUGCCAUUGCAGCAGGAGGGUGCAUCAUCCCCAGGUUCUCAGAGCUCGCAUCUGAGAAGCUGGGCUUUUCUGGUCUUGUACAGGAAAUCUCACUUGGGACAACUACAGAUAAAGUGCUGGUCAUCGAGCAGUGUAAGAACUCCAGAGUUGUAACGAUUUUUAUUAGAAGAGGAAAUAAGAUGAUCAUUGAGGAGAUGAAACAAUCCCUUCCCUAUGCUUUGUGUGUCAUCUGGAACCUCAUCCACUAUAAUCACAUGGUGUACAGAAGAGGGACUGUUGAGAUAUCCUGUACGCUGGCAGUUAGCCAAGAGGUGGGUAAGUGCCCAUCUUAGAACAGUACAUCAUGAGAGAGUUUGACAAAGUGCUGGAGGUCAUCCCCAUAACCCUGUCUGAAAACAGUGGCAUGAAUCCCAUCCAGACUAUGACCAAAGUCCAAGCCAGACAAGUGAAGGAGAUAAAUCCUGCUGUUGGCGUCAACUGUUUGCACAAGGGGACAAAUGACAUGAAGCAACAGCAUGUCAUAGAAAGCUUGAUUGGCAAAAGGCAGAAGAUAUCUCUUGCAACACAAAUGGUUAGAAUGAGCUUGGAGAUUGACAACAUUUGUAAGCCGGGAGAAUCUGAAGAAUGAAGACAUUGAGAAUACUAUGUAGUAAGAUCCACUACUGUGAUUAAAUAAAUGGAUGUGUUGUCAUGCAUCUACAGUUAUGUUUAUUAUUACAUCCUAUUUCAGACACUGUAGAUGGUGUAAUAAAAGUAGCUGUUUGGCACCCAGAGUUUCACUUGUUCAAAGCCAUGUAAUUGUGGAGGUACUAUCUCAACAUGCUUUUGUAUUCAUUAUAUCAAAGGAAUCUCUUUAAACAAACAAAAAAGAAAAA